UAGAGGAGCCUGUUCUGUAAUCGAUAACCCACGAUCAACCCAACCACCCCUUGCCAAAACAGCCUACAUACCGCCGUCGCCAGCCCACCUCGAAUGAGAGCACAACAGUGAGCGCAACAGCACCCCCGCUAAUAAGACAGGUCAAGGUAUAGCCCAUGGGGCGGAAGAAAUGGGCUACAUUCCCUAUACACUAGGGCAGCACGAAAAGAAGCAUGAAACUGCUUCUGGAAGGAGGAUUUAGCAGUAAAGUGGGACAAUAGAGCCUACUUUAAGCCGGCCCUAGGGCACGUACAUACCGCCCGUCACCCUCCUCACAAGCCACACCCCCACAUAACUAAUACCCUAAACAUGCCAAAGAUGAGGUAAGUCGUAACAAGGUAAGUGUACCGGAAGGUGUACUUAGAAUACUCAAGACGUAGCUAUAACACCCAAAGCACUCAGCUUACGCCUGAAAGAUAUCUGCCAAACCAGAUCGUCUUGAAGCCUCCCUCUAGCUCAGCCGCCCAAACAACGC
This 514-nucleotide ribosomal RNA is filed under the name Anas platyrhynchos (mallard). RNAcentral describes it as "mitochondrial SSU rRNA". The stretch from base 1 to 415 matches the Rfam family "Bacterial small subunit ribosomal RNA", at positions 930 to 1533 of the family's 1533-position model. Lineage: Eukaryota; Metazoa; Chordata; Aves; Anseriformes; Anatidae. The record is from RNAcentral.